Molecule: ribosomal RNA, 279 nt
Filed under: uncultured bacterium
Lineage: Bacteria
Description: partial 16S ribosomal RNA
Rfam family: Bacterial small subunit ribosomal RNA
Source: RNAcentral
UGCCAGCCGCCGCGGUAAUACGUAGGUGGCGAGCGUUGUUCGGAUUUAUUGGGCGUAAAGGGUUCGUAGGGGGUUUGCUAAGUCUGAUGUGAAAUCCCGCGGCUCAACCGCGGAACUGCAUUGGAGACUGGCAGACUAGAGGAUCGGAGAGGAGAGUGGAAUUCCGGGAGUAGCGGUGGAAUGCGUAGAUAUCCGGAAGAACACCGACAGCGAAGGCAGCUCUCUGGACGAUUUCUGACCCUGAGGGACGAAAGCGUGGGUAGCAAACAGGAUUAGAUA